GCGAUAAGUAAUGUGAAUUGCAGAAUUCAGUGAAUCAUCGAGUCUUUGAACGCACAUUGCGCCCCCUGGCAUUCCGGGGGGCAUGCCUGUCCGAGCGUCAUUGCUGCCCUUCAAGCCCGGCUUGUGUGUUGGGUCGUCGUCCCCUCCGGGGGACGGGCCCGAAAGGCAGCGGCGGCACCGCGUCCGGUCCUCGAGCGUAUGGGGCUUUGUCACCCGCUCGAUAAGGACCGGCCGGGCGCCAGCCGGCGUCUCCAACCUUUUUUUCUCAGGUUGACCUCGGAUCAGGUAGGGAUACCCGCUUAACUUAAGC
RNAcentral lists this unclassified non-coding RNA (310 nucleotides) under plant metagenome. RNAcentral describes it as "partial contains 5.8S ribosomal RNA, internal transcribed spacer 2, and large subunit ribosomal RNA". The stretch from base 1 to 100 matches the Rfam family "5.8S ribosomal RNA", at positions 55 to 154 of the family's 154-position model. The record is from RNAcentral.